Prionailurus viverrinus (fishing cat) is the source of this 108-nucleotide small nuclear RNA. Lineage: Eukaryota; Metazoa; Chordata; Mammalia; Carnivora; Felidae. The record is from RefSeq and is a predicted model, not a curated record.
GUGCUCGCUUCGGCAGCACAUAUACUAAACUUGGAACGAUACAGAGAAGAUUAGCAUGGCCCCUUGCGCAAGGAUGAAAGGAAGCAUUUAUAUAUCUACAUCCAAAUG